ACAAGUAUGAAGAGAAUGUCGGGAGAGGAAGUGGUGGCUAUGAGUCAGCAUGAGUCAUCUCGUUCCAAUGAGAAUGAAGGCUGAGGUGUGCGCCUUUUUUUUUUUUCCUUCUUAGUCGUGUGUACAUCAUUGGGAAUGGAGGGAAAUAAAUGACUGGAUGGUCGCUGCUUUUUAAGUUUCAAAUUGACAUUCCAGACAAGCGGUGCCUGAGCCCGUGCCUGUCUUCAGAUCUUCACAGCACAGUUCCUGGGAAGGUGGAGCCACCAGCCUCUCCCUGACAAGCAAAGUGGAUCAGCAAAGGCUGCAGUCACCAGCAUCUUUUCCAACCUUAAUGAACUGUAUCCUCAAAAGAACACUAUCAGACUGGCUCUGCCGACUUCCAGUUCUGGAACAAGAUGGUUAAACUCAUUUUUCCCUGCUCUGCUCCUCUAAAUACAACUAAGUACCUUGGAAACUAUUCAGCAGACAAUGAUAAAGGGCUCUGAAAGCUAGAAGAAAAGGUGUACUUGCAAGAAACCUCAGGACUUGAGUAACAGCAACAUGGCAGGCCAGAAAGCAGACCCAGGGAGGAUAGCACAUGUCUUCGGCUACACUGGUGAAGGCAUCGUGCCUGCUCCACAGCACAUUUUUAUUCAAGAACAAUCCAUUUCACAGAUGAAGAAACAGACUCAGUGAGCACGUGAUCACUUCUCACAACUAAUGGAGCCAAGAUUCUGUCCUUAUGGCUCCAGAGACCUCUUUUUUUUCCCACUGUACCACAACACUCACCAGGACUGGAGUGCCACCUAUGACCUCAUUGCAUAAUGGAUGGCUUGUCCUCAAAUGGGCCCGGUCUUGGACGAGCCUGAGGAUGUCUACAAGUGGAAGAAAAGAAGCCACUGGAGCAGAAGGUGGGGAGGAUAAAAUUUGGAGCAAGAUUCUCAAGGAAGCAACAAGAUCCUAAGCUCACCAAGCUCCUGUAUCUACUGGAAAAUGGAAGUCCAGCCUUACCAACUUGUGAACCUUGUCUGAAGGGAGCCAGGGCCUGCCAAUGGAACCACCUCCAGGAGCUGCAACUGCUGUUGUCAUUAAUACCAUUGUGUCUAUUUUUUGAGAGAGAUAAACUUUUCAUGGUGUUACAUUUUGGAAAAAAAAAAAAAAGACUAGGUGAACAGUCAGGUAGGAAAGCAGCAUAACAGUCCCUUAAAUUCUGAUCAUGUAGGACAUUCUUCUUUGCCCUGGGCCUGGGAAAAUGCAGCAUGUUCCAGAGCAAAAGUCCUAAUGAGGGGAACUAAACCAGUGGGACCCAAACCAAUGUCCUGGCUCACUGAGGACCCGUUAGAACCAAAUCUCUGGGUGUGGACAGGCUCCCAUACUUUUCAAAAAUUCCCCUGAUGACUAAUGAACAACCAGAGGUAAGAACCAGUGGCCCAGAGGAAUAACCAGCCCAGCUGUUGUACGAGCUCGCUAAGCUGGCUCAGGUCAAUGUUGAAUUCUCUGCUAGGCAGCUCCUCAUAAGAACUGGCAGAGAUGGUUCUUACACAACAACAGGUGACAACUCCAGACUCUGCCGGAAGUUCCAGGAUCUGGGUUCCCGGACAAUGCAUGACACUCAGUCCAGCAUUGCAGGUGGAAGAGCGACGGUGAAAAGACCAAAGUCAAUUAAAAUGUGUUAACCAAAACAGGAAACAUGAGUGAGGUGAUUGAGAGUGUGUUUAACUUAGAUGUGUGAUUUUAUCAAUACUUUCAUUGUUCAAAAACUCUUAUUUUUUAAAGAUAUUUUCAAAACAAAUCCAAACUUUACUUUUCAUUCCAAAUUCGUGUUCCGUCUAUACUUGCAUUUGGGGAAAGAUUGAAACAAAACACAAAUACUUUGUAGCAAUGUUGGAGUGUCAUGUUCUUUGCAGAGGGACAGGAAAAAAAAAGGAUUUUUUUUUCUUAUCAAGAGAUACUGUUUCCUCAAGGAGAAAGGGCAUCAGUCCAAGGCACUGGUUUGCUCAAAAAGAUUAGUAAAGAACAAGCAUAUUUUGUCUGUGGUGACAACAUGAUCUCCCCCCCCCCACUAGUAAACUCACAGCAUCAGUACGCAGGCAGUGUGAUGCAUUUUCAAAGUUCCUCACUUUUCCAGAUCCAACAGGACUCUUGUGCACAUACUCGGUGUUUCCAUGGCAAAUCCACUGUGUAUGAAAAUUAGACCCUUCCAAAAAACAAAUUUACUAGUCAGUAACCAUCAUCAGCACUUUUUUUCUGUACCAUGAAAUUUGGGAACAAAAUUAAAGGGCUCUUGAUUGAAA
RNAcentral lists this long non-coding RNA (2273 nucleotides) under Homo sapiens (human). Its description in RNAcentral is "non-protein coding MIR4435-2HG:44". Lineage: Eukaryota; Metazoa; Chordata; Mammalia; Primates; Hominidae. The record is from RNAcentral.